This 305-nucleotide ribosomal RNA is filed under the name uncultured bacterium. RNAcentral's name for it is "bacterial SSU rRNA". It matches the Rfam family "Bacterial small subunit ribosomal RNA", at positions 497 to 799 of the family's 1533-position model. The record is from RNAcentral.
UAGCCUACGGGGGGCAGCAGCCGCGGUAAUACGGAGGAUGCGAGCGUUAUCCGGAUUUAUUGGGUUUAAAGGGUGCGUAGGCGGGACGGUAAGUCAGCGGUACAAAUGCGGAGCUCAACUCCGUCGAGCCGUUGAAACUGUCGUUCUUGAGUGAGCGAGAAGUAUGCGGAAUGCGUGGUGUAGCAGUGAAAUGCAUAGAUAUCACGCAGAACUCCGAUUGCGAAGGCAGCAUACCGGCGCUCAACUGACGCUGAAGCACGAAGGCGUGGGUAUCGAACAGGAUUAGAUACCCUUGUAGUCCAACA